RNAcentral lists this ribosomal RNA (453 nucleotides) under uncultured bacterium. RNAcentral describes it as "bacterial SSU rRNA". It matches the Rfam family "Bacterial small subunit ribosomal RNA", at positions 32 to 471 of the family's 1533-position model. The record is from RNAcentral.
AAUCAACGCUGGCGGCGUGCCUAACACAUGCAAGUCGAACGAGAAGGUGACUUCGGUCACUGGAUAGUGGCGUCCGGGUGAGUAACACGUAGGUAAUCUACCUUCGGGUGGGGAAUAACGUCUCGAAAGAGACGCUAAUACCGCAUAAUGCAGCGGCACCUAAUGGUGAUUAGUUGUUAAAGCGGGGGAUCUUCGGACCUCGCGCCUGAAGAGGAGCCUGCGGCAGAUUAGCUAGUUGGUGAGGUAAUGGCUCACCAAGGCUUCGAUCUGUAGCUGGUCUGAGAGGACGGCCAGCCACACUGGCACUGACACACGGGCCAGACUCCUACGGGAGGCAGCAGUGGGAAUCUUGCGCAAUGGGCGAAAGCCUGACGCAGCGACGCCGCGUGGGGAUGAAGCUUCUCGGAGUAGUAAACCCCCUUUCGACCCGGACGAAUAGCCCGCAAGGGACUU